GAUGAACGCUGGCGGCGUGCCUAAUACAUGCAAGUCGAGCGAACAGACGAGGAGCUUGCUCCUCUGACGUUAGCGGCGGACGGGUGAGUAACACGUGGAUAACCUACCUAUAAGACUGGGAUAACUUCGGGAAACCGGAGCUAAUACCGAAAAAUAAAUUAACCGCCAGGUUCAAUAAGUAAAGGAGGGUUUGCUUUCACCUUAUGAAGGAUCCGCGCCGCAUUAGCUAGUUGGUAAGGUAACGGCUUACCAAGGCAACGAUGCGUAGCCGACCUGAGAGGGUGAUCGGCCACACUGGAACUGAGACACGGUCCAGACUCCUACGGGAGGCAGCAGUAGGGAAUCUUCCGCAAUGGGCGAAAGCCUGACGGAGCAACGCCGCGUGAGUGAUGAAGGUCUUCGGAUCGUAAAACUCUGUUAUUAGGGAAGAACAAAUGUGUAAGUAACUAUGCACGUCUUGACGGUACCUAAUCAGAAAGCCACGGCUAACUACGUG
RNAcentral lists this ribosomal RNA (496 nucleotides) under uncultured bacterium. Its description in RNAcentral is "partial 16S ribosomal RNA". It matches the Rfam family "Bacterial small subunit ribosomal RNA", at positions 28 to 507 of the family's 1533-position model. The record is from RNAcentral.